AAUAAGGUAGCUCCCAAAAUAUAGAGUUCUUCUUCCACAUGGGUUCACAUUCGUUAUCAUCGUUCAGAACAGAUUCGCUACCAAGACCCAUUCCAAAGACUUCCCUUACAUCCUUUAUCAUCUCAAAUACACACUUUCCGUUACGGUAUGCAUGUUUUUUAUGAUGGUCUGCCACCCCUUUGAAAUGCAACCCUUUCUUUCUUACACCUCCUAUAGUGUUUCAAAUACAUGCUAUCUGUUUCAUCUAAACAGUGGAUGCAGGCCCGAUAUCCCUUGUUUGUCUGUCCUAAAAGGUUACUCAAUGUAGGCCAAUCAUUGAUGGUUACGAACAACAAUGCUCAUAGGUCAAACCUCUUUUGUUUAUCCUCAUCCCACAUAUAUACACCUUUUUCAUUCCAGAGCAGUAGCAGUUCUUCAACCAACGGUCUUAGAUACACAUCAAUGUUGUUGCUGGGUUAUUUUUGACCUUGGAUAAGCACCAGCAUCAUAAUGAACUUCUUCUUCAUGCACAGCCAAUGAGGAAGGUUGAACCUACAUAGGGUUACAGGCCAAGUACUAUGACCACCACUCAACUCACCAAAUGGAUUGAAAUCAUCCGUACUUAAACCAAACCUUAUGUUCCCUGCAUCUCUUUCAAAGUUCGAAAAUUCUCUAUCAGCUGAUGUCCACUGGGCCCCAUAAGCGGUGGUCUCAGCAUCUCAUCUUGCUUACAUUAUUCUUUCUUCCAUCGCAUCAACUUAGCAUUCGCCUUGUUUCUGAACAAAUGCUUCAAAUGAGGAAUUAUAGGGAAAUAACACAUCACCUUAGUAGGAACUCUCUUCUUGGGAGGCUGCCCCUCGACAUCACUAGGAUCUUCUCACCUGAUCUUAUACCG
Molecule: long non-coding RNA, 874 nt
Filed under: Setaria viridis
Lineage: Eukaryota; Viridiplantae; Streptophyta; Magnoliopsida; Poales; Poaceae
Description: long non-coding RNA (SVIR_LNC008934)
Source: RNAcentral